This 2420-nucleotide ribosomal RNA is filed under the name Candidatus Allofontibacter communis. RNAcentral describes it as "partial 23S ribosomal RNA". It matches the Rfam family "Bacterial large subunit ribosomal RNA", at positions 466 to 2653 of the family's 2925-position model. The record is from RNAcentral. Lineage: Bacteria; Pseudomonadati; Pseudomonadota; Alphaproteobacteria; Candidatus Pelagibacterales; Candidatus Pelagibacteraceae.
CUAAAUACUCUCUGGUGACCGAUAGUGGACAAGUACCGCGAGGGAAAGGUGAAAAGAACCGCUGUGAGCGGAGUGAAAGAGAACCUGCAACCGUGUGCCGACAAGGUGUCAGAGCCCCGCAAGGGGUGAUGGCGUGCCUUUUGCUUAAUGAGUCUGCGAGUUAUUGUCUGUGGCGUGCCGAAGGGCUUCUGGUCCGGAGGCGGAGCGAAAGCGAGUCCGAAAUGGGCGAACAUAGUCGCAGGCAGUAGACCCGAAGCGGAGGUGAUCUACCCAUGGUCAGGAUGAAGUCCCGGUAACACGGGAUGGAGGUCCGAACUGGUGAGCGUUGAAAAGCUCUCGGAUGAACUGUGGGUAGGAGCGAAAGACUAAUCAAACCCCGUGAUAGCUGGUUCUCCCCGAAAUAGCUUGAGGGCUAGCCUGGCGUGCUGACCCAUGGAGGUAGAGCACUGGAUGGACGAGGGCCCAUACCCGGGUACCGAAUCCAAUCAAACUCCGAAUGCCAUGGGGCGCAGCGCCGGAGUCAGACGGCGGGGGAUAAGCUUCGUCGUCGAGAGGGAAACAGCCCAGACCGUCAGCUAAGGUGCCUAACGACCGCUCAGUGGAAAGGAUGUGGGAUUUCUUAGACAGUGAGGAUGUUGGCUUAGAGGCAGCCAUCAUUUAAACAAAGCGUAACAGCUGACUCAUCGAGAGAUCCCGCGCCGAAAAUGAUUGGCGAUCAAGCGGUCGACCGAAGCUACGGACUCCAUCCCGGUUCGCCGGGGUGGAUUGGUAGGGGAGCGUUCUGUACGCAUCGAAGCGGAAGGGAAACCGACCGUGGAGUGUACGGAAGUGAGGAUGCAGACAUGAGUAGCGAUCAUCCCGGUGAAAUUCCGGGACGCCGUAAACCCAAGGUUUCCUGGGGAAGGUUCGUCCUCCCAGGGUUAGUCGGGUCCUAAGUCGAGGCCGCACGGCGUAGACGAUGGGCAGCAGGUUCAAUAUUCCUGCACCACCGACAUUUAACCGAUGUUGACGCAGAGACGGAGAGGGGCGAGGUGUUGAACGUCCUUGUCCCGCAAGGGGACGCGGAGGCCACGGCCGAAGCGGAUUCCUCAAAGUCCCUGCCGAGAAAACACAUCGGGUAUACUAAGGUGCCCGUACCGUAAACCGACACAGGUGGGUGAGUAGAAUAUACUAAGGUGCGCGAGUGAACCCUCUUCAAGGAACUCGGCAAUCUAACCCCGUAACUUCGGAAGAAGGGGUGCCCGUCGCAAGACGGGUCGCAGAGAAAUGGGCCUACCGACUGUUUAGCAAAAACACAGCACUCUGCUAAGUCGUGAAGACGACGUAUAGGGUGUGACACGUGACCAAUGCCGAAAGAUUACGGUGAGAGGUCACCCAGCCCAUUCAGUCACAGAAAGGAGUUGAGAUCAUGUUCUAUGUGUAUGUGCUCAAGGGGCCGCGCGAGCGGGAUCUUUAUUUCGGCUACACCGCCGAUCUGAAGGCCCGGUACGCGAGCCACCAGCGGAUGCCGCGUCAUCGCGGUUGGAAGCUGGCGUAUUACGAGGCGUACCAAGACAAACGCGAUGCGAUCGAGCGGGAGCGCCGCCUGAAACAUUACGGUUCAGGCCGGGGCCGGCUCAAAAAACGCAUUGCCCGGUCUCUCUCCGAGGGUGGUUGAAUGGGCUGGGGAAGCUUCGAACCCAAGUCCCGGUGAAUGUCGGCCGUAACUAUAACGGUCCUAAGGUAGCGAAAUUCCUUGUCGGGUAAGUUCCGACCUGCACGAAUCGUGUAACGAGUGGGCCGCUGUCUCGAAGAGGCGCUCGGCGAAGUUGUAGUGGCGGUGAAGAUGCCGCCUACCCGCAGUAGGACGGAAAGACCCCGUGCACCUUUACUGUAAGCUGUCGCUGGAUUUUCGUUCGGAAUACUUAGCGUAAGUGGGAGACGUUGAUCCUUGGGUUUCGGCCCAAGGGGAGUCGCCAAUGAAACACCACCUUUUCUUCAUGAAGAUUCUAACCCUUGCCCGUGAUCCGGGCGGGGGACCACGGCAGCGGGUCAGUUUGACUGGGGCGGUUUCCUCCUAAAGAGUAACGGAGGAGUGCUAUGGUUCCCUCAGCAUGGUUGGCAAUCAUGCGUCGAGCGUAUGGGUAGAUGGGAGCCUGACUGCGAGACCUACAAGUCGAGCAGGGACGAAAGUCGGCCCAAGUGAUCCGGUGGUUGAAUGUGGAAUCGCCAUCGCUCAUCGGACAAAAGGUACGCCGGGGAUAACAGGCUGAUCGCGCCCAAGAGUUCAUAUCGACGGCGCGGUUUGGCACCUCGAUGUCGGCUCAUCGCAUCCUGGGGCUGGAGAAGGUCCCAAGGGUCCGGCUGUUCGCCGGUUAAAGCGGUACGCGAGCUGGGUUCAGAACGUCGUGAGACAGUUCGGUCCUUAUCCACUGUGGGCG